Long non-coding RNA from Fukomys damarensis (Damara mole-rat), 1923 nucleotides. The record is from Ensembl. Lineage: Eukaryota; Metazoa; Chordata; Mammalia; Rodentia; Bathyergidae.
CUUGAUCUUUGUAACAACCUGCUAGAGCUGCAAGAACAUUUUUAAUUAGACCGAAUUAUCUAGUUUGGCUGUCCACAGAAAUCAAAGCCUGAGCUGAAAUGUCUCUUUCAUUUUGCUAGUGUGGAGAUGGCUUAUGUGCUGUGAUUUUAAAGAUGUUGAACACUGCCUGUGGGCAUAUUUUAUGGAGAAAUAAACACACAGCCCAAUGAGAUGUAUAGUGUGGUUUUAAUAUAUUGUAUAUUCACUUAUUUAUAGGGAAAAUAAACACGCAAGCCAAUAAGCUGUGUGUUAUUACUUUAAUAUAUUGAAUUUAUUUCAUACCUAUAUAUUUUAUGAAGGAAAAUAAACUAAUAAGAUACACGAUAUUAUUAUAAUAACACAUCUAAUUGUUCUAUAUUAAUUUAUUUAUGAGAGAAAUAAGAGCAAUUUAACAUGACAUAAGAUUAUUUAAUGCACGAAAUGAGUUCUGUGUUAGGACAGUUUAAGGGAUUAUAUUCCAGCUGAAUAAAAUGUGGACUUCUCACGCCCAGGGAGCAGGUUUAGAAAAAUAUGCAAGGAGCUGGCUGGUCCGCUAAUGUCACGACCUGUGUUGGCUCCUGACUCAGCCUGACAGUUGCUACCUCUCAGUGCCUGGUGCUCUAAAUCCCGGUCCUGCUGGCCCAGGGAAAGAGUCUGGGAGAUCCAGGAAAUAAAGUGCUUUUAGAGAACCGCAGCAUCUGCCAGGGAGGUCGCCCCGCGGUGUCUGUUCCUGAGCCCUAGAAAUAUUAAAUAAACCGAAGGAGGAUGAAUGGCUUUCCAGGGCCCUUUAAAUCUCCACGUUCCCGGAGAACAAACCAGGAAGCAGAUGGGGAGAUCGAGCCUCGCUUCCCGCUCCCAGGCUCCGCCAGGGCCUGGGAAGGGUUGGGGGGGCGGCUCUGGAUGGGAGGUUGAAAUGGAAAAUGGAGUUGUUGGCCAAGACAGGCCUCCUGCUCCUGCCCCAGCUUCUGUUCUGUUGCCAACACACCCUCUCUUUCCAUCCGGCUGCCCAUAUUUUUAAGCAGAGGGUCCAGAAACAUCAGCACAGCGUCAAAACUCAUCUGUCUGGGGAAAGCAGCAGCAUCCUCCCCCAUACUCUUCCUGGAGCCCAGAUGGGGAUGCGAUGGCCAUUCCGGCCACUUUUGUGCCACCCGGACUCUGCCAAUCCCCAGGGCUUUGCCACCGUGCCUGGUCCGCUGAACCGGACCAACCUCAGCUGGGUUCUGCACCAGGGCGGGCACCUGGAGGACAGUGAAGGGGUUGGGUCCAAUACAAACACUCAUUUUCGAUUAUAAAGACAUUUAUUUAAUCUAUGAAAAUAAUGUACAAUAAAUACUUUCCCCUCUUUCCUAUUAAAGAAUUUUAAUAAAUAAUCUACCAUCUAAAACUUUAAAAAGGAGGAAAACAGGCUCCUCUAGCUCUUUUUAAGAAAGCCCCCCAAGCGUUUAAUUAUUCCUGAGAUAUUUCGUUGGAGGGAGUCUACCAAACGGAAUUUUCGGAGUGAUUGAAAAUAAAGAAAGGGAGUGGAUGAAACGCUAAUUCAGUAAUACCUGGAUUUUUAGUAAAAACGUAAGCAAAUGCGACUGGGGAUGGAGGAGGCUCCAUUUUUCCAGCAGCGGCACGGGCACGGGGCGCGGGGCGGAAAGGGCGGAGAGAAGCGGGUCAGGGGAACUGCACGUCUAUGGCGCACAGCGAGCUAGUGAAGAAGUCCAGCUCUUCCUCGGAGAAGGGGACCGGGCUGUCGAGCGAGCCCUGCAGGGUGGGAGACAGGCCUCCGGACAGCUGGAGACAGGAGUCUGCGGCGAGGAAGCUGAGGUCGGGCAGGAAAGGCGAGCCCUGGCGCUCCGGGAAGGCGGCUUCGGGCAAGGGACCGGGCUCCAGCCGGCCUGCUCUGCGCAGCGCGCAACC